This 135-nucleotide small nucleolar RNA is filed under the name Myotis davidii. RNAcentral describes it as "Small Cajal body specific RNA 11". It matches the Rfam family "Small Cajal body specific RNA 11". Rfam says of the family: scaRNAs are a specific class of small nuclear RNAs which localise to the Cajal bodies and guide the modification of RNA polymerase II transcribed spliceosomal RNAs U1, U2, U4, U5 and U12. The record is from Rfam by way of RNAcentral. Lineage: Eukaryota; Metazoa; Chordata; Mammalia; Chiroptera; Vespertilionidae.
UUGUCCUGGCCUAUCCUUUGCUCACCUGUGCUCAGUAUAACAGGGGAGUCUGGCAGGACACACAGCAACCUCCCUCUCACUUUAGGAGGGCCGUCCUGAGUAUAGGGCUGGCUCUUAAAGGCACGAGAGGACAAU